This 108-nucleotide small RNA is filed under the name Marmota monax (woodchuck). The record is from RNAcentral. Lineage: Eukaryota; Metazoa; Chordata; Mammalia; Rodentia; Sciuridae.
GCCAGGCAUGGUGACACAUGUCUGUAAUCCCAGUGACUCAGGAGGCUGAGGCAGGAGGAUCUCAAGUUCAAAGCCAGCUUCGGCAACUUAGGGAGCACCCUGUCUCUA